Molecule: long non-coding RNA, 1184 nt
Filed under: Oreochromis niloticus (Nile tilapia)
Lineage: Eukaryota; Metazoa; Chordata; Actinopteri; Cichliformes; Cichlidae
Description: lncRNA (ENSONIG00000039910.1)
Source: RNAcentral
GUACUUUUUUUGGACUGAACCAUCAUUGCUAACCACUAUAGAGGUUAUGUUUUUUGAUUUGCCCUUUAAUUAGUCUCCUGUCUUACUGUAAAGUUUACAAUUUAUAUGAAAUUAAUCUGUUUCUAUACAUUAAGAAACAGAUAAACAUUGUUUUAAGGAAAUCUUCUUUGUGUCUGCAGAUUGAACCUGCUUACAAAAACUCAUUCCCUUCUUCCUUUGUCUCCUUGGCCGUUGUGAGCUUCAGGUAAUUUCAGUAUUUUGACAUAUAAUGUUAAGAGCACUGACCUAACGCCCUAAAUAUUCAAAACUAUUGUUUUUGUGUCUGCAUUUACAGGCGGGGAUCAGUCGUCAACACCAUAGAACUUCAGUUUGUAAACUCAUCUGUUCCAAAUGACACUGAGAUUAGAAGUGUUUUGAUCAGUCAAGCCUCAAACGUGACAGGCUUUGACACUGAAAUGACCUCCAUCAGUGACAUUGCUCCAACAACUACCACAGUGACUCCUACAACAACAUCUCCUCCCACAACUACCACCACAGCUACAACAACUACCAGAAUAGUACCCACAACAACAUCUGCUCCAACAACUAACACCACAGCUGCAACAACUACCACAGUAGUACCACAACAACAUCUGCUCCAACAACCACCACAGUAGUACCCAGAACAACAACAUCUCCUCCCACAACUACCACCACAGCUACAACAACUACUACAGUGGUACCCACAACAACAACAUCUGCUGCAACAACUACCACAGUAGUACCCACAACAACAUCUGCUCCAACAACUACCACAGUACUACCCACAACAACAUCUGCUCCAACAACUACCACCACAGCUCCAACAACAACAUCUGCUCCAACAACUACCACCACAGCUGCAGCAACUACCACAGUAGUACCCACAACAACAACAUUUGCUCCAACAACUACCACAGCACCUCCAAAAACCGCUACUACUCCUCUAAGUAGUCCCACAUCUGCUCUAACAAUCACAACAGCAGGAACACCGACCACAUCUGUAGCCACAACCACCAGACCUCUGACAAUUAGAUAUGUUGUUUUCAAAUCCAUUCAAGGCAUUUUUACAGCAGACUUGUUGAAUUCAUCAUCUAAAGCUUUUAAAAAUCGAUCUUCAUCAAUAAAGAAACAGAUUGAACCUGCUUACAAAAACACGUUCCGUU